This 433-nucleotide ribosomal RNA is filed under the name uncultured bacterium. RNAcentral describes it as "partial 16S ribosomal RNA". It matches the Rfam family "Bacterial small subunit ribosomal RNA", at positions 29 to 507 of the family's 1533-position model. The record is from RNAcentral.
AACGAACGCUGGCGGCAUGCCUAACACAUGCAAGUCGAACGAGACCUUCGGGUCUAGUGGCGCACGGGUGCGUAACGCGUGGGAACCUGCCCUUAGGUUCGGAAUAACUCCCCGAAAGGGGUGCUAAUACCGGAUAAUGUCUUCGGACCAAAGAUUUAUCGCCUUUGGAUGGGCCCGCGUUGGAUUGGCUAGUUGGUAGGGUAAAAGCCUACCAAGGCGACGAUCCAUAGCUGGUCGGAGAGGAUGAUCAGCCACACUGGGACUGAGACACGGCCCAGACUCGUACGGAAGGCAGGGGAGGGGAGUAUUGGACAAGGGGGGAAAGUCUAACAAAGCAAUGCGGGGUGAGUGAGGAAGCCGUUAGGGUUGUAAAGCUCUUUUACCCGGGAUGAGAAUGACGGUACCGGGAAAAUAAGCACCGGCUAACUCCGUG